RNAcentral lists this transfer RNA (85 nucleotides) under Holosporales bacterium. Its description in RNAcentral is "tRNA-Leu". It matches the Rfam family "tRNA". Rfam says of the family: Transfer RNA (tRNA) molecules are approximately 80 nucleotides in length. Their secondary structure includes four short double-helical elements and three loops (D, anti-codon, and T loops). Lineage: Bacteria; Pseudomonadati; Pseudomonadota; Alphaproteobacteria; Holosporales. The record is from RNAcentral.
GCGGUCGUGGCGAAAUUGGUAGACGCGCAGCGUUGAGGUCGCUGUGGAGAGAUCCUUGGAAGUUCAAAUCUUCUCGACCGCACCA